UACGUAGGGGGCAAGCGUUGUCCGGAAUCAUUGGGCGUAAAGAGCGUGUAGGCGGCCCGGUAAGUCCGCUGUGAAAGUCCAGGGCUCAACCCUGGGAUGCCGGUGGAUACUGUCGGGCUCGAGUCCGGAAGAGGAGUGUGGAAUUCCUGGUGUAGCGGUGAAAUGCGUAGAUAUCUGGAGGAACACCGGUGGCGAAGGCGGCAUCCUGGACCGACACUGACGCUGAGGAGCGAAAGCCAGGGGAGCAAACGGG
This 253-nucleotide ribosomal RNA is filed under the name uncultured bacterium. RNAcentral describes it as "partial 16S ribosomal RNA". It matches the Rfam family "Bacterial small subunit ribosomal RNA", at positions 524 to 776 of the family's 1533-position model. The record is from RNAcentral.